RNAcentral lists this transfer RNA (74 nucleotides) under Serpula lacrymans var. lacrymans S7.9. RNAcentral's name for it is "tRNA-His (ATG) (tRNA-His-ATG-7-1)". It matches the Rfam family "tRNA". Rfam says of the family: Transfer RNA (tRNA) molecules are approximately 80 nucleotides in length. Their secondary structure includes four short double-helical elements and three loops (D, anti-codon, and T loops). The record is from RNAcentral. RNAcentral also lists the same sequence under 1 other name. Lineage: Eukaryota; Fungi; Basidiomycota; Agaricomycetes; Boletales; Serpulaceae.
ACCUUGGUGGCUUAAUUGGUAAGAGCACCAGACCAUGAAUGCUAGAGUCCCAGGUUCAAGCCCUGGCCAAUGUA